CCUACGGGAGGCAGCAGUGGGGAAUCUUGCGCAAUGGGUGAAAGCCUGACGCAGCCAUGCCGCGUGAAUGAUGAAGGUCUUAGGAUUGUAAAAUUCUUUCACCGGGGACGAUAAUGACGGUACCCGGAGAAGAGGCCCCGGCUAACUUCGUGCCAGCAGCCGCGGUA
This 167-nucleotide ribosomal RNA is filed under the name uncultured endophytic bacterium. Its description in RNAcentral is "partial 16S ribosomal RNA". It matches the Rfam family "Bacterial small subunit ribosomal RNA", at positions 338 to 522 of the family's 1533-position model. The record is from RNAcentral.